Molecule: unclassified non-coding RNA, 1144 nt
Filed under: uncultured fungus
Lineage: Eukaryota; Fungi
Description: sequence contains 18S rRNA gene, ITS1, 5.8S rRNA gene, ITS2, 28S rRNA gene
Rfam family: Eukaryotic large subunit ribosomal RNA (bases 328-1144)
Source: RNAcentral
AGGUGGAUCAUUAGCGAAGCCCGAUGCGGGUGCAAACUCAAUGCUGCGCAAGCGGCCUAUGUCGUUGUUGUUGUUUAAUCCACAACUGUCAGCAAGGGAUCGUUUGGUUCUCGUGUCGAUGAAGAGCGCAGCGAGGUGCGAAAAUUGGCGUGACACGCAGAGGUGAGCGUCGAGUGCUUGAAUGCAGCGUGCACCGUUACGGUGUGUCUGUCUGGGUGUGUGUUCUUCCAAGAAUUCUUGUGUGCGCUGUGGACGCGUUCAGGUGACUGGACCCGCAGUGUCAAUCGUCGGUGUGCAGCGAAUAGUGUCGUCUGUGCAGAAGUGUCCUCACCCCAGAUCAGAUACGACUACCCGCUGAACUUAAGCAUAUCAGUAAGCGGAGGAAAAGAAACUAACAAGGAUUCCCGCAGUAACUGCGAGUGAAGAGGGAUCAGCCCAGCCUUGGAAUCUGUGGCCGGCGGCCGCAGAGUUGUGGGUUGGUGUGCCGAUGCCCUGCGCUUCGACUCCGCCGAACUGGCCCGGAAUGGCCGGACGUAGAGGGUGAUAUUCCUGUGCGGCGGAGUGGUUGCGUUCGGCGCGGCUCGUCGAGUCGGACUGUUUGGGAUUGCAGUUUGAAGUGGGUGGUAGACUCCAUCUAAGGCUAAAUACGAACGAGAGACCGAUAGCGAACAAGUACCGUGAGGGAAAACUGAAAAGGGCCUUGGAAAGGGGGUGAAAAGUGCGUGAAAUUGCUGACAGGGAACCGGGUGGCUGCGCGGUGUCGGGUGGCUUCUGCCCCCGAACAGUUUCCGGCUUUCUGAGCCGGCGGAGUGCGUAUUCCCAAACUGAGCGCAGCCAGCCGACCCGUCUUGAAACACGGACCAAGGAGUCUAGCAAGCGUGCGAGUACAACGGUGGCAAACCGUGGUGCGAAGCGAAAGCGAACGUUGCCGGUGCAUGCGGCAUCGUCCGAGCCAAGGGUUCGCCCGCGGCAUUGAGACAGAGCACGGUUGCUGGGACCCGAAAGGAGGUGAACUAUGCCCGGGUAGGGUGAAGCCAGGGGAAACUCUGGUGGAGGCUCGAAGCGGAUCUGACGUGCAAAUCGAUCGUCAAACCCGGGUAUAGGGGCGAAAGACUAAUCGAACCUCCUAGUAGCUGGUUCCACU